This is a long non-coding RNA of Cucumis melo (muskmelon), 2217 nucleotides long. RefSeq lists it as uncharacterized. Lineage: Eukaryota; Viridiplantae; Streptophyta; Magnoliopsida; Cucurbitales; Cucurbitaceae. The transcript is spliced from 3 exons. The record is from RefSeq and is a predicted model, not a curated record.
UUCCCUUCACCGCCAAGUUUGAAGACAUCCAAGUUCCCUUUAUUUUUUUUUCUUUUUCCUUCUUCAAUUUGCAGAUAACUUCUAAGAGAGAGUUUGGAAGAAGAAGAGAAAUUUUACUAGAAUUUUUAGGUUGAAGAAGAGGAGGAGAACUCAAGCAAAGUGUAUCAAUGGUUGAAUUUUAGUUCAUUCUGCACAUCACUGGUUUUUAAUUCGGUUUGAACUCUUCAAAAGGAAUUAAGAGGGCAGUUGGUUUUCACUCGAAAUCAGGAGGUCUCUGGUUUUUCUUGUAUUUCAGAGUGUAUCGGUGGAGUUAGAAUUUCUAUUUGGUAUGGUUGGAAAGCUUAUUCAAUUUACUACAACUUUCAUGAAGAAAUUGUAAACCAAAAACGACUAAAAAUUGGUUAAAUUGUAGGAACAAGUUAAAGAGGUCGUGUGCGCGCGAUUCUGGAAGUGGUUCUGUUUUGAGGGUUAUAUGUGUUUAUGCACGGAGAAUCAGAUUUAUAUGUCUUCAGGUAAGUUUUAGAGGAUCUCAAAAUGAAGAGUUUGAUAUAAAGAACACUCAUUUUAGCCGAGAAGAAUUAAACCGAGCUUAUAGACCAAGGAUCUAGCCCAAGACUGUGAGUGACAAAACCAACUUUGAAAUAUUUUCCAUAACUGUUAUUAUGAUUGAAUGCGAUAAAUGUUUAUUUACGAAGCCAUGAAAGGUAUUUGAAUUUCAUGACUAUUUUCAAGUAUACAUUUGGAGACUAGAUUUCUUAAAGAAAUUUAUGAUAGCACGUAGAUAUUAAAUGUUUGGAAAGUAUUUAAACCACAAUAUUUUAAGCAAAACAUGAAUUAGUAUGAAGUUUUGUUUUAAGAACUACAAUUUUCCACGAAAGAGCUGAGUAAAGUUCGAGCUUUGUGUAAAAUUUAUAAGCAGGCAUGUUUUAAUAUUUUAUGAUGAUUUAUGAAAUUUUUAUUAACUACAUGAUUGAGAUCUUGAGCCUGAGGCUAGAGAUUACCGUGUGCACACUGGUUAGAUUUCGUUGUUGACGUUGAGUGUACUCCGUAACAACGAUGCUGUCGUGAGUGCUGGGCGGGCCCCACUACGACAAAGACGAUGGGAGUGCUGGGCGGGCCCCACUACAUCGUAGUGCUUGUAAACGUUGUUGUACUAGGUGUACCCUACACAACGUAGAUUCGUCAUGUUAGUUAAAAUGCUUCGAUAUACUUGAUAUGCCUUGCUAGAUUUCAAUGAUGAACAUGCUGAGUAUUUAAGGAAGCUAUUCUUACUAUUACACAUUUACAUUUACGACUUGUAUAAACAGAUUUAUUUGUGUAAAGUUUUCACGUGCUCUUAUCUUUAAAUUCAUAGUUUUAAACUGAGUCACUCACUGAGCUUCAUAGCUCACCCUUUCCAAAAUGUUUUACCCAUUUUCCAGGUAGAGAUCGACUUCCCGGUGCCUGAUAGACUGCCUUAGUCUGCGGAAGCUUCAUUAUCGAUUGCCAGUACGUGUUUUGAGUUGGGCAUAAAGUCUGUUGUGUUGUGAUGUAUUCACACCCUUGUAUGUUAUAGAUACUCCACAGUUUGUAUAAGCUUUAGGAGCUGUAGUUGUGUAAAUUUUGUUGCUUAUAUUUUGAUUAAGGGGUCUUUAGGUUUACUCGUGAAAUCGGUAAAUUUUGAGGUACACUUCAUGUAUGUGUUUGACUAGCUGUGUUUGACUAGCCUAGGAUCCGUUGUGUUUUGUGGCAUGUACAAUAGUUUAUAUACUAGAUUGGCAAGUUCAUCACAUGAAAGUUUUAAGCAGAGUCGACAGAUACAGGUACAGAAAAACGUUGUUCGUCGGCUUCACGCCAUCUUUCGGUCUAAGGUAGCAGGUAGUCCGGGAGGGGGUGUGACACUAGCUCAUACCGUAGAAGGGUCAUCCAACACAUCACAGUUGUGGGGUCGAAGACGAGGAGUGUGAAAGACUUGAAACAGGGAAAGAAAGCCCUAUGAGUUGGUUUGCUUGCAACUCAAGGAGGAGGAUAAGAUUGGAAUUCUUAUGUUCCUAAACACCUCCCAAUAGAAAGCAGCAAUAGGCAAUGGAUGAAGGAAGGAAGGUGUGUUGCGCCUUGGUGGGAAGAAAAAGGACCUAAGAAUUUCAAGAGUUGGUUUACUUUUACGUAAAGGAAAGUUGUAAUUUGUAAAUUUGUACUUUUGUAAGCAUUAAGCUAAUAAAGAGAAGUUUUAAGUUA